CUCCGCCGCGUCGGGUUACCUGGCCGCUGUUGGCGAAGUCGUCCGCGGUGAGCUCGUCGUGGAGUUUGACGGCGAGGCCAAAGUCGCACAGAGCGACGUCUCCGUCGUCCUUCACCAGCACGUUGCCGCUCUUCACGUCGCGUAACUCGGGACAUAUCUUACACGCUGGAGAAAGUGGAGAUGAUUGUGGACAGAUGUCCAACCGUCCUUUGUCAACCAUCGUGACCUUCAGGUUUCGGGGAAUUCCACAAGAAUUACGCGGGCCGAAAAGGAUUUGCCAGUCACGGUGGUGAUGAUGAUGCUGAUGAUGGUGGCGGCGGCGGCGAGCCUGUCACACCGCAUGCUGACGCUCAACUGUGCGUAGAACACAGCUGCAUCCAGAUGGGUGCGAGCCCCACCCCCCCCGCGAGGUCUUCCGCGCCGUCCUACU
Molecule: long non-coding RNA, 430 nt
Organism: Syngnathoides biaculeatus (alligator pipefish)
Lineage: Eukaryota; Metazoa; Chordata; Actinopteri; Syngnathiformes; Syngnathidae
Exons: 3
Source: RefSeq, a predicted model, not a curated record